Molecule: non-coding RNA, 100 nt
Organism: Acanthosepion pharaonis
Lineage: Eukaryota; Metazoa; Mollusca; Cephalopoda; Sepiida; Sepiidae
Source: the annotation of a GenBank genome assembly
UUAUGGCCAUAUCACAUUGAAACAUUGGUUCCCGUACGGUCAUCAAAGUUAAGCAACGCCGAGCCUGGUCAGUACCUAGAUGAGUGACUGCCUGGGAAUA